AAGUAAAAGACAGCUGACAUAAAGAGAUUCACAAGAUAAAAUACUUUAUCUUGUGAAUCUCUUAAUGUCAGCUGUCUUUUACAU
Non-coding RNA from Pelobates cultripes (western spadefoot toad), 84 nucleotides. NCBI's taxonomy places the organism in Eukaryota, Metazoa, Chordata, Amphibia, Anura, Pelobatidae. The record is from the annotation of a GenBank genome assembly.